Molecule: long non-coding RNA, 978 nt
Filed under: Homo sapiens (human)
Lineage: Eukaryota; Metazoa; Chordata; Mammalia; Primates; Hominidae
Description: HSALNT0125096
Source: RNAcentral
GCCCAGUGGUGGCAAGCAACAGCCUGCAUAUUACAGAUCUCAAGGACGUUGAGAUUAGAAGUAGUGUGUAUUCUCAAUCUUAAAUUCAGGGGGUGCACGUGCAAGUUUGUUACAUGUGUAUAUUGUGUGAUGCUGAGGAUACGAUUGAUCCCAUCACCCAGGUCUGAACUUCUAUAGGCUGCAGUCUGCCUGAUCCUCAGCAGGAAAUUUCUGCUUCAGGCUGCAGUAAUGCAGCAGCCCUUCUUUUGCUGCCUAGCUGUGAGUUGGCUCUGCUCCACAUGACUCUCGUCCUCUUCCUCAUAUCAGCGGGCUAGCCAGCGCAUGUGAUAGUGUUUGAGUAUUUGUCCCUUCCAAAUCUCAUGUUGAAAUGUGAUUCCUAACGUUAGAACUGAGGCUGAAUAGGAGAUGUUUUGGUCAUGGGGUUGGAUUUCUCAUGAAUGGCUUGGCAUCCUCCACUUAGUAAUGAGUAAGUUCUCACUCUAAGUUCAUGUGUGAUCUAGUUGUUUAAAAAAAGACUCUGGAAGCUCCCUGCUUCACUCUUUUGUUCCCUCUCUCGUCAUGUGACAUGUGACCAUGAAGUUCCCGUUUCACCUUCCACCAUGAAUAAAAGCUUUCUGAGGGUUUCAUCAGAAGCUGAGCAAAUGUUGGUGCCAUGCUUGUAUAGCCUACAGAACCAUAAGUCAAAUAAAUCUCUUUUCUUAAUAGGUUACCCAAUCUCAGGUAUUUCUUUAUAACAACACAAAAUGAAGUAUCACAGCAUGUUUACCACAAGUAAUAACAGAACUACAAGAAGGCAUGACCUGCUGCACAAGUGCUUUUAAAGCCCCUACUUGCAUCAUGACUAUUUCUAUUCUUGUGGCUAAAACAAGACACAUGGCUAAGCCUACAGUCAAGGGGCAGAGAAGUACACUCUCCCCUUAGUAAAAGAAUGGGAAGUUAUGUAACAAAGGGCAUGAAUACAGGUAGGCAAGAAGACUU